GAGCGAACAGACGAGGAGCUUGCUCCUCCGACGUUAGCGGCGGACGGGUGAGUAGCACGUGGAUAACCUACCUAUAAGACUGGGAUAGCUUCGGGAAACCGGAGCUAAUACCGGAUAAUAUAUUGAACCGCAUGGUCCAAUAGUGAAAGACGGUUUUGCUGUCACUUAUAGAUGGAUCCGCGCCGCAUUAGCUAGUUGGUAAGGUAACGGCUUACCAAGACAACGAUGCGUAGCCGACCUGAGAGGGUGAUCGGCCACACUGGAACUGAGACACGGUCCAGACUCCUACGGGAGGCAGCAGUAGGGAAUCUUCCGCAAUGGGCGAAAGCCUGACGGAGCAACGCCGCGUGAGUGAUGAAGGUCUUCGGAUCGUAAAACUCUGCUACUAGGGAAGCACAAAUGUGUAAGUAACUAUGCACGUCUUGACGGUACCUAAUCAGAAAGCCACGGCUAACUACGUGCCAGCAGCCGCGGUAAUACGUAGGUGGCAAGCGUUAUCCGGAAUUAUUGGGCGUAAAGCGCGCGUAGGUGGUUUUUUAAGUCUGAUAUGAAAGCCCACGGCUCAACCGUGGAGGGUCAUUGGAAACUGGAAAACUUGAGUGCAGAAGAGGAAAGUGGAAUUCCAUGUGUAGCGGUGAAAUGCGCAGAGAUAUGGAGGAACACCAGUGGCGAAGGCGACUUUCUGGUCUGUAACUGACG
This 699-nucleotide ribosomal RNA is filed under the name uncultured bacterium. RNAcentral describes it as "bacterial SSU rRNA". It matches the Rfam family "Bacterial small subunit ribosomal RNA", at positions 64 to 745 of the family's 1533-position model. The record is from RNAcentral.